CUGGCUCAGGACGAACGCUGGCGGCGUGCUUAACACAUGCAAGUCGAACGAGACGAUUGAAAGCUUGCUUUUGAGAGUCGAGUGGCAAACGGGUGAGUAACG
RNAcentral lists this ribosomal RNA (102 nucleotides) under Pseudoselenomonas ruminantium. RNAcentral describes it as "Selenomonas ruminantium 16S rRNA. Bacterial SSU". It matches the Rfam family "Bacterial small subunit ribosomal RNA", at positions 19 to 115 of the family's 1533-position model. The record is from RNAcentral. Lineage: Bacteria; Bacillati; Bacillota; Negativicutes; Selenomonadales; Selenomonadaceae.